CAGGUUGAACAACAGAACUGUCAUUUUUUUUUUAAUUUACCAAACUUCUGGGCAAUCAAAAGUAUAAGAUUAUUUUUUCAUUGUUAAGAAUGAAAAAUGUCUUCACUUUCAUCUUUGCACAGCUACUGAAGAGCACCUCGCAGUGGUGUCAGAUUUUCAUCCUUGGCAGGUCAUUUUGGAAACAGUGAAAUUGGAAAUAGAUUUAGUUUGUGCCUGUCAGUCUAUGAGAGGACAGUGAUAUUUCAAGACCUACAUAAAUAUUUAUUUUCUUGAAAUUGCCUAUACGUGUCAAUCUUCAACAGAUGUUGACAUUCACUUUUGUUUGGAUUUCCUUAUGGUAAUUGCUGUGAGGUGGGAUGGGGUGAAAAGAGUUUAGGGUAGAAAGGACCAUAAGUCAGGCCACAUAAUGUUAAUAAGCUUCCUUGGACCACAUUUACUAUGCAGUGGGGGAUAAGUUAGAGUAAUUGGCCCCACUUUUUCCUUGAAAAAGAGGAGGACUAUUCGAAUAUCUCCUCCUCUAGCUUUCUAUGCUUCCUUGAAUCCUCUGCAUGUCUGAGAGGUGCCAUAUUUGCAAAAGUUUAACUUGAUAGUAAAUUGAAUUCUCUGAAAUUGAAGGAAGGAGAUGCCUUGGCAAGCCACGGAAGGCAGCAUGGUGUGGUCACCGGGAUAAGGUUUCCCAUCUCAGUGUUAUUUGUGAGCCUCUAAGUGCUCCUUGAUAAAAUGAGAAUGAUAAAUGCAACCUGUCCCAUAGGUAGUCUGAAGUCAACCCACAAAACGUUAUUGCCCAGAUCAGGUGAAGGAUUACGGCCCAAGGAUCUGGAUAUGAACUUCGCAUGAGCGGUAACUAAAGAUUUCCUCUUGGGAGGGACUUGUGGCCGCAAGUUAUAAUUAUCAGGCAUAGUGCUUUCCAAGCAUGCAUAUGCACGCAAGUCACUUGGAAAGCCAGUUACAAAUGCAGAUUCUAAUGCAAGAGGCCUGAGCAGAGGCCUGGGAUUCUGUAUUCCUCAUAAAUUCUCAGAGGAGCUGAUGUAACCCUCGAUAGUCUUUGGAACGGCUAGGCCCCUGUGAGCUUAGAAUGUGGGUGCCAAUUCAGAUUCUGAUACUCUUGGCUUGGGGCAGAGAUGGGCAAUGUCUUUUGUUUUUUAUUUGUUUGUUUUCUACUGUUGUUGGGGUAGUAUAUUUUUAAUUCCAGGACUGAAAACAAUUGUGGUAGACAAAAUAGAUAGGGAUUAUUUUGGCUGCCGAGUUUGUAUUUUGGGAGGCGGGAGAUGGAGGGAAGAUGCUGGGAAUUAACAGGAUUUAGAGCCAAAAACCCAGUCUCAAAUGUUAGUUCUGUAACUUGAAAUCUGCAAGACAGCCCUGAAACUCAGAGCUUGAGAUUGAAUGUCUUGGCCCUACAUAUUUACUGUGAGGAUUAAAUAAAAUAGUACAUGUGGCAUGCUUAGGGCAUUGCCAUACUGUCUGGCCUGUGGUAAGCUCUCAAAUCAUGGUAGUUAUUUUUGUCCCUUAAAAAAAAAAUGUUGGGUGGUAUAAAUGGGAUCCUGGGAUGAUAAUUAGUCAAACACAUUUGUUCAUGAUGCAAAGUACUGCAGUGACUCAACCAGACAGAGGCUCAAAGAAGAAAGGACAGUGACACAUAGAAAUAAUUUAGCUCUCUGUGGAAGGGCACGCAGUGGCUGUGGGUCCUUCAUAAAGGGAUCCUGAAUGAAUGAUGAGCAGCCAGGUGUGUGCAGUGGUGAGGCAGGCCCCAGUGAAGGAAGAGGAGGAGUUACUUCUCAACAUGUUUAAUCUGCAUUGCUGUGCACAGAAGGCAGCAGUGACCUAAAUAAAUCCUUCAUUAGAAGCAGAAACACACUGGCUCAGGCACUGCGCAGCAGAGCUCCGUGACAGGAGGGCGGACAGACGGGGCUUCUCUUAUUACUCAGUGCAACUGAGUGGAAGAGGGGCCCCAUAGCAGACAGGAGAGAGGAGCUGGGCUGCCCUGGGCCCACGCUGGGGUGCACGGCUUUGGCCCCUGCUCCAGGUGUGACUGAGCCUCUGAGAGGUACCAUCUUAGCUGAAGAAGCUGAAGAAGCUCCCCUGGCUGGGGUGGACGGUCAUCUAUCACCCUGCAGAUGGCACAGCCAAAACGUGGCUCUCUGCAAGCAAGGAAUGGGGUUUCAUGAAGAACCACUUCUGCUGACACCUUGAUCUUGAACUUCCAGCCUCCAGAGCUGUGAGAAAUAAAUGUCUGUUGUUUAAACCA
Molecule: long non-coding RNA, 2245 nt
Organism: Symphalangus syndactylus (siamang)
Lineage: Eukaryota; Metazoa; Chordata; Mammalia; Primates; Hylobatidae
Source: RefSeq, a predicted model, not a curated record